ACCUUUGCAUAGAAAAUCUCACGAUUCCCCAUUCUCACGCCUAUUUAGCUCCGGAAACAGGUCGGCACACUCCAGACAACCCUCAAAAUUUUUAGAAUAGUUCAAAACAUUAUUCCUACACUGGAUGGAAUUAAAUCACUUUUCUCAUGAAUUAUAGUAGUCAUCUAAUAAAUUAUAGUUCUUCAUGUCAGCACGUUAGUAAAAUAUUAUAAGCUUUAUUUGGAUGUCAGAAUAAGUUAUUCAAUGAUAACAUAUUUUAUACAAGACC
RNAcentral lists this long non-coding RNA (268 nucleotides) under Ananas comosus (pineapple). RNAcentral's name for it is "long non-coding RNA (ACOM_LNC026497)". Lineage: Eukaryota; Viridiplantae; Streptophyta; Magnoliopsida; Poales; Bromeliaceae. The record is from RNAcentral.